UUCCGAUGUUCAGAUCGAAGUCAUUUCCAGUAUUCAGACUGAUGAGCGGCAUUCCGGCCAUGGUUAUUUCUGUGUUACCAUUUAUUUUGGUAUGCAAGUUAACAUUCUUUAUUCAGACUGACUCUCACCGUACCAGACGGAUUCUUCUUUCAAGACCACCUCUUUGCCGAUUCUGACAGACAUUGUUACUUCAUUUCACUUCAGUGCAAAUUUUUGGGCUUUUAUUGUAUUCAAUCCCUUGAUACCUCGAAAGCACGAAAGN
Molecule: long non-coding RNA, 262 nt
Filed under: Lathyrus oleraceus (garden pea)
Lineage: Eukaryota; Viridiplantae; Streptophyta; Magnoliopsida; Fabales; Fabaceae
Description: Pisum sativum (pea) long non-coding RNA (PSAT_LNC006101)
Source: RNAcentral